AAAAAUAUUACUUUGCUUCCUAUGACUCCUGAUUUCAUUUUGAAAGAUGAUAUUAAUAGAGCUAAUAAAGCACAACAGGAGAAGAAUAAGAGUGAAAAUCAUAUUGUGGCAAAAGAAUUUGAGCAACAAAUGAAGCCUAAUAAUAAACCAUCUAGUGUUGCUUCUGAAAUUAAAUUGAAAAGUGCAUGUUUAUUUGCCACCAAAUCUGAUAUUGAUGAGCUAGAUUUCAGCAAAUCUGUUUGCUAUGCUUUUGUGUGCAAAGAGGCAUUAUUUUCAUUCAAGGACGUGCCUUCCUCUUUGCCUCCUGCUGUCACUAACAUUUUGCAGGAGUUCGCUGACGUUUUUCCACAAGACGUGCCACCGGGAUUACCGCCUAUUCGAGGCAUUGAG
Molecule: ribosomal RNA, 390 nt
Filed under: Triticum aestivum (bread wheat)
Lineage: Eukaryota; Viridiplantae; Streptophyta; Magnoliopsida; Poales; Poaceae
Description: partial small subunit ribosomal RNA
Source: RNAcentral